GUCGCGGGUGAACAAGAGGAAGAAGAUACAUAGGAAUGACAGAGGAAGUUCAGCCGGUUCCAGCUAAGGCUUUGACUUCAGCAACAGCUUGCACUCGUAAAAGGAAGACGGUAGCAGAAAAAGCUGCAACCAAAAAGAAACUGGAAAGUGCAAGAAGCCAAACAAGAGUCAACAUUGGCGUCGCUUUUCAACAAUGGCGGCAACUGAGGAAACAGAAGUGCCUGAAAAGCGACGCAAUGGUGGCUGAAUUUCUGCUAGACAUUUAUGAGAAAGACUCCUCAACUUCCACACCUUCAAAAACACGGAUUGAUGAAACCACCACUUCUGCCCCACCUCCACCAUUUCGUCAGAGUUUCUCCUCCUCGACCGAGAUGAUGACUUCUCAGUAACUGGAAUUGAGAAGUUGGAGAAAAGCAGCGCUCAGGACACAGCUAUAAAGGAAUUGGAUGCAAGAUAUGGCAAGGAGGUGUACAACGAGAAGAGGAGCUUGUACACAAUCAUGGCAGACAAGGGCUACCACUACAUCCAAGACCUCUGCACAGAGGGCUGGUUGCCUCUAAGGAGCCUCAGCGCAGAACCAUGAGGCUGGAUGAUCCUCGUCAGCAUGGCCUUCUGCCAGGUGACACUGCCCCAACCACCCAGGAGCUGUUGCAGAAGCAAGUCAGCAGAGGGCUAGGACAGUCACUGCCAAAGCAGAAGAAGAUUGCCACAGCGCCCACAUGAUGCCACAUGCAGAGCCUCCCUGACCCGUCAGGCUACACUCAUCUCUGCUUAUGAUCAAAAGUAAAUAUAUUGUGUAUAUAUCUUCUAGUAUUUCAGUAAUGUCAUAUAUAAUUUCCCCUAAAAAUACA
Molecule: long non-coding RNA, 851 nt
Organism: Seriola dumerili (greater amberjack)
Lineage: Eukaryota; Metazoa; Chordata; Actinopteri; Carangiformes; Carangidae
Exons: 5
Source: RefSeq, a predicted model, not a curated record